AUUAUUAUCUCCAGGGGAGAUACCAUGAUCAUGAAGGUGGUUUUCCCAGCGAGGCUUAUCCAUUGCACUCCGGAUGUGCUGAUCCCCGCAAUUUCCCCAAAUGUGGGAAACUCGACUGCAUAAUUUGUGAUAGUGAGGGACUGCGUUUGCGCUUUCCCCUG
Molecule: small nuclear RNA, 161 nt
Filed under: Aotus nancymaae (Ma's night monkey)
Lineage: Eukaryota; Metazoa; Chordata; Mammalia; Primates; Aotidae
Description: U1 spliceosomal RNA (ENSANAG00000017244.1)
Rfam family: U1 spliceosomal RNA
About the family: U1 is a small nuclear RNA (snRNA) component of the spliceosome (involved in pre-mRNA splicing).
Source: Rfam by way of RNAcentral